AAUGAACGCUGGCGGCGUGCCUAAUACAUGCAAGUCGAGCGACAGGACGAGAAGCUCGCUUCUCUGAUGUUAGCGGCGGACGGGCGAGUAACACGUGGAUCACCUACUUCUAAGACUUGGAUAACUUCGGGAAACAGGAGAUAAUACUGGAUCAUAUUUUGAACCGCAUGGUUCAAAAGUUAAUGACGGCUUUGCCGUCACUUAUAGAUGGAUUCGCGCUGCAUUAGCUAGUUGGUAAGGUAACGGCUCACCAAGGCAACGAUGCAUAGCCGACCUGAGAGGGUGAUCGGCCACACUGGAACUGAGACACGGUCCAGACUCCUACGGGAGGCAGCAGUAGGGAAUCUUCCGCAAUGGGCGAAAGCCUGACGGAGCAACGCCGCGUGGGUGAUGAAGGUCUUCGGAUCGUAAAACUCUUUUGUUGGGGAAGAAAAGAUGUGGAAUAAACUGUGGACGUCUUGACGGUACCUAAACAAAAAGCAACGGCUAACUUCGUG
This 497-nucleotide ribosomal RNA is filed under the name uncultured bacterium. Its description in RNAcentral is "partial 16S ribosomal RNA". It matches the Rfam family "Bacterial small subunit ribosomal RNA", at positions 29 to 507 of the family's 1533-position model. The record is from RNAcentral.